GAGUUUGAUCUUGGCUCAGAUUGAACGCUGGCGGCAGGCCUAACACAUGCAAGUCGAGCGGAUGAAGGGAGCUUGCUCCUGGAUUCAGCGGCGGACGGGUGAGUAAUGCCUAGGAAUCUGCCUGGUAGUGGGGGAUAACGUCCGGAAACGGGCGCUAAUACCGCAUACGUCCUGAGGGAGAAAGUGGGGGAUCUUCGGACCUCACGCUAUCAGAUGAGCCUAGGUCGGAUUAGCUAGUUGGUGGGGUAAAGGCCUACCAAGGCGACGAUCCGUAACUGGUCUGAGAGGAUGAUCAGUCACACUGGAACUGAGACACGGUCCAGACUCCUACGGGAGGCAGCAGUGGGGAAUAUUGGACAAUGGGCGAAAGCCUGAUCCAGCCAUGCCGCGUGUGUGAAGAAGGUCUUCGGAUUGUAAAGCACUUUAAGUUGGGAGGAAGGGCAGUAAGUUAAUACCUUGCUGUUUUGACGUUACCAACAGAAUAAGCACCGGCUAACUUCGUGCCAGCAGCCGCGGUAACG
This 521-nucleotide ribosomal RNA is filed under the name uncultured microorganism. RNAcentral describes it as "bacterial SSU rRNA". It matches the Rfam family "Bacterial small subunit ribosomal RNA", at positions 9 to 525 of the family's 1533-position model. The record is from RNAcentral.